Molecule: long non-coding RNA, 1061 nt
Organism: Nymphaea colorata (pocket water lily)
Lineage: Eukaryota; Viridiplantae; Streptophyta; Magnoliopsida; Nymphaeales; Nymphaeaceae
Exons: 3
Source: RefSeq, a predicted model, not a curated record
CCGCAGCCUCGCUCCAACAGAAAUCGCCUUCUCACCGUCGCACCAGAGGCCGCUCUCACCGUCGCCUCUCCGCCGUCGCCACUCCACUCCUCUGCCAGUGAUCUUUCCCCCUUUCUCUCUUGCUCUCUGUUGCCCUCGUUUUCUCCCUAAAUCAGUGCCCUAAUCUGUUGAUCCUGAAUUGAGGAAUGUUGGGACAUCAUGGUCUGUGGAGGGAUUGUGAAUGGACUUGCAGGAGUGCUCAUCUUUUGGCCAAGUCUGAAGCGAAUCCGAGCUAAGACGAGGAAGUUCUAGCUAUGACCCGACCAAGCUCCGGCUAGGCCGCUGCUACUUUCCCGACCAAGCUCCGGCAAGUCCGAUGAGUUGCCCAUAAUACCCCUGGUUGGAAUUAGAAGAAUCAGAUAUAAAUUGUGUUGGCCAAGGGUAUUGUUGGCCUUGGAAAAGAUUGUGGUUUGGGCUAGAAAGCCUAACCGCCAACUUGGAAGCUCGCAUCUAGCUCCACCUCGCACGUCCUUUCCAUAUCACCAGCUGGACCCAGCCAUCCGUCGAUCAGCUCCAUGUGUCAGCCAUCCAAGGAGCCAUGUCGCCCGACUUUGUUGGGAGUGGAUCGAGUAUCACGCGGGGCCACCUCCUUCUCUCGUGUGCUACCUUGCCACGCACGCACCACCUCGCCACUCUCCCCUAUUAUUGUGUGCUAAAGGGGUCAUGCAAUGGUUGCCAGAAACGUUGGUUUCUAGGGUUGCCUCUUCCCCAUCUGAGAGAGACCUCACGUGCGCCGCAAAGACCCUAGAAGAUGAUACUGCAAUCCGAUCGUCCAUUUGUUGAUAUGGAUUCAGGUAAUGAUCAACCUAAAGGAGGAUGUUGCUUGGUCAAGUUUAAGCGUAGAGAGCAAUGAGUAUGUGAUAAUUUUCAGGUUUCUAUGUGAAUAGUGAGUCAAUCCAAAGAUGGACUUGUUAUUUGACAGAGCUAAUUAUUUAUAUUCAUUGUUGACCAAGAAUACCAUUUGCAGUUAUUAUUUCAAUCCAAAGAUUGGAUAUUAAUGUUGCACCGGUACCUUGUGAUGG